ACUGAGGAAACCUUUCAGUUAGAGACAUUUGAAGCAGUCAUGCAGCACUAAGUGGUUAAGAACAGUAGACAUGUGCAGCCCAGUAUAACCAGCAGAUGUGAGGGGCGGAGCCCUGCUCUCCUCCCAGUGGCUGCAGUGGAAGCUGAUUGGUUCAAACGACUUGAUUCCAGCUGAGAACAUCAGACUGAACCGUCACAGCUUCUCUGUCAACAUGGAGAAACUGGCUUCACUUCUGUUCUUCUCAGCUCUUGUAGGUCACAGCUUGGAAGAUGAUGUCACCGCCAGCAGUGCUGAGGUGUUUUCAGCAUCGGGCCGUCCUGUCACUCUGUCCUGUCAAUAUUCUGUUAAAGCUGAAAACCUCCAGUGGUAUCGACAGGAUCCUGGAUCAGCUCCUCACUAUCUUCUCCUGAUCACUGAUACACAAGAGCCUCAAGUGGUGAGAGCGACUCCUCCAGACCCUCGACUGACAGCUGAACUGAACCAGGAGAGAAAUGGAGUCACACUGCAGAUCUCCUCUGCUGCAGUGACAGACUCUGCUGUGUACUACUGUGCUGUGAGGCCCACAGUGACAGGAAACUACACAACUCUGUACAAAAACCUGUGGAGCAAACACACAACUCCUCAUGAAAGGUUUGUGUGUUUGAGCUGAAAGCUGCAGAAUAAA
This is a non-coding RNA of Pleuronectes platessa (European plaice), 664 nucleotides long. Lineage: Eukaryota; Metazoa; Chordata; Actinopteri; Pleuronectiformes; Pleuronectidae. The record is from the annotation of a RefSeq genome assembly.